ACGGGUGUAGCUCAAUGGAGAGCGCCGGAUUCCAAAUCCGGAGGUUGGGGGAACAGAGCCUUCCACCCGUGCCA
RNAcentral lists this transfer RNA (74 nucleotides) under Caudoviricetes sp. Its description in RNAcentral is "tRNA-Trp". It matches the Rfam family "tRNA". Rfam says of the family: Transfer RNA (tRNA) molecules are approximately 80 nucleotides in length. Their secondary structure includes four short double-helical elements and three loops (D, anti-codon, and T loops). Further hydrogen bonds mediate the characteristic L-shaped molecular structure. tRNAs have two regions of fundamental functional importance: the anti-codon, which is responsible for specific mRNA codon recognition, and the 3' end, to which the tRNAs corresponding amino acid is attached (by aminoacyl-tRNA synthetases). tRNAs cope with the degeneracy of the genetic code in two manners: having more than one tRNA (with a specific anti-codon) for a particular amino acid; and 'wobble' base-pairing, i.e. permitting non-standard base-pairing at the 3rd anti-codon position. The record is from RNAcentral. Lineage: Duplodnaviria; Heunggongvirae; Uroviricota; Caudoviricetes.